GACGAACGCUGGCGGCGUGCUUAACACAUGCAAGUCGAACGGAAAGGCCCUGCUUUUGUGGGGUGCUCGAGUGGCGAACGGGUGAGUAACACGUGAGUAACCUGCCCUUGACUUUGGGAUAACUUCAGGAAACUGGGGCUAAUACCGGAUAGGAGCUCCUGCUGCAUGGUGGGGGUUGGAAAGUUUCGGCGGUUAGGGAUGGACUCGCGGCUUAUCAGCUUGUUGGUGGGGUAGUGGCUUACCAAGGCUUUGACGGGUAGCCGGCCUGAGAGGGUGACCGGCCACAUUGGGACUGAGAUACGGCCCAGACUCCUACGGGAGGCAGCAGUGGGGAAUAUUGCACAAUGGGCGGAAGCCUGAUGCAGCAACGCCGCGUGCGGGAUGACGGCCUUCGGGUUGUAAACCGCUUUCGCCUGUGACGAAGCGUGUGUGACGGUAAUGGGUAAAGAAGCACCGGCUAACUACGUG
Molecule: ribosomal RNA, 468 nt
Filed under: uncultured bacterium
Lineage: Bacteria
Description: partial 16S ribosomal RNA
Rfam family: Bacterial small subunit ribosomal RNA
Source: RNAcentral